GUCUACGACCAUUCCACCCUGAACAUGCCCUAUCUCGUCUGAUCUUGGAAGCUAAGCAGGGCCGGGCCUGGUUAGUACUUGGAUGGGAGAAAUCCCUACACUGUGGGUG
This 109-nucleotide ribosomal RNA is filed under the name Octodon degus (degu). The record is from RNAcentral. Lineage: Eukaryota; Metazoa; Chordata; Mammalia; Rodentia; Octodontidae.